ACCAACUACAACCCAAACAUAUUAAUAACCCCUAAAACACUUAACAACAUAACUAAAUCAUUUUUCCCCUUAAGUAUAGGCGAUAGAAAAAGAACUAGGCGCAAUAGAUAAAGUACCGCAAGGGAACGCUGAAAGAGAAAUGAAACAACUCAGUAAAGCAGAAAAAAGCAGAGCUUUGUCCUCGUACCUUUUGCAUCAUGUUUUAGCUAGAGCCCCUCAAGCAAAAAGCAUUUUAGUUUGACCACCCGAAACUAGACGAGCUACUCCAAGACAGCCUACAUAUAGGGCCAACCCGUCUCUGUGGCAAAAGAGUGGGAAGAGCUUCGAGUAGAGGUGAUAGACCUACCGAGCCUGGUUAUAGCUGGUUGCCUGAAAAUUGAAUAGAAGUUCAGCCUCUUGAGUUCUUCCCUCUCUUGUAGAUAUUCUAGACAGAGACACAAAGAAAUUUAGAGAGUUAGACAAAGGGGGUACAGCCCCUUUGUUAUAAGACACAACUUUAUUUAGGAGGAUAAGAAUCAAACUCUACUCAAGGUAAAAUAUUUCGGUGGGCCUAAAAGCAGCCACCCCUGAAGAAAGCGUUAAAGCUCAAAUAUGCACGAUAACCCUUAAUUCUGAUUAUUUUAUUCUACCCCCCUUUCCCUAUCAGGCCUUACCAUAAACUUAUGGAAGCGAUCAUGCUAAUAUGAGUAAUAAGAGAGUCCCGGCUCUCUCCGUACACAAGUGUAACUCGGAACGGACCAACCACCGACCAUUAACGUCCCCAAGAAAAGAGGGAACCGGGCCGUAAACAAAGAACUAGAAAACCGCCCAAAAAUUACCGUUAACCCCACACUGGUGUGCUCACACGGAAAGACCCAAAGAAAAAGAAGGAACUCGGCAAAAAUACUUAAGCCUCGCCUGUUUACCAAAAACAUCGCCUCUUGUUAAACAAAAAUAAGAGGUCCCGCCUGCCCUGUGACUAUUAGUUUAACGGCCGCGGUAUUUUGACCGUGCAAAGGUAGCGCAAUCACUUGUCUUUUAAAUGAAGACCUGUAUGAAUGGCACGACGAGGGCUUAACUGUCUCCUUUUUCCAGUCAGUGAAAUUGAUCUCCCCGUGCAGAAGCGGGGAUAAAACCAUAAGACGAGAAGACCCUGUGGAGCUUUAGACAAUGGGCCAGACCAUGUUAACACCCUCUAUCUAAAGAGAAGAACCAAUUGGACCCUGUCCCAAUGUUUUUGGUUGGGGCGACCGCGGGGAAGCAAAAAUCCCCCAUGUGGAAUGGGAACACCCCUCCUACAACCAAGAGCCACAGCUCUAAGUACCAGAAAUUCUGACCAUUAAGAUCCGGCAACGCCGAUCAACGGAACGAGUUACCCCAGGGAUAACAGCGCAAUCCUCUUUUAGAGCCCAUAUCGACAAGGGGGUUUACGACCUCGAUGUUGGAUCAGGACAUCCUAAUGGUGCAGCCGCUAUUAAGGGUUCGUUUGUUCAACGAUUAAAGUCCUACGUGAUCUGAGUUCAGACCGGAGUAAUCCAGGUCAGUUUCUAUCUAUGUUGUGGUCUCUUCUAGUACGAAAGGACCGAAGAGAAGGGGCCCAUGCUUAAAGUACGCCUCCUCCUAACCUACUGAAGACAACUAAAAUAGGCAAAAGGACAUGUCCUCGUCCGCCUUAGAUAAUGGCAC
RNAcentral lists this ribosomal RNA (1665 nucleotides) under Atherinomorus stipes (hardhead silverside). RNAcentral describes it as "16S ribosomal RNA". It matches the Rfam family "Bacterial large subunit ribosomal RNA". The record is from RNAcentral. Lineage: Eukaryota; Metazoa; Chordata; Actinopteri; Atheriniformes; Atherinidae.